UGGGGAAUAUUGCACAAUGGGCGCAAGCCUGAUGCAGCCAUGCCGCGUGUGUGAAGAAGGCCUUCGGGUUGUAAAGCACUUUCAGCGAGGAGGAAGGUGGUGAGCUUAAUACGCUCAUCAAUUGACGUUACUCGCAGAAGAAGCACCGGCUAACUCCGUGCCAGCAGCCGCGGUAAUACGGAGGGUGCAAGCGUUAAUCGGAAUUACUGGGCGUAAAGCGCACGCAGGCGGUUUGUUAAGUCAGNUGUGAAAUCCCCGGGGCUCAACCUGGGAACUGCAUUUGAAACUGGCAAGCUAGAGUCUCGUAGAGGGGGGUAGAAUUCCAGGUGUAGCGGUGAAAUGCGUAGAGAUCUGGGGGAAUACCGUGGCGAAGGCGGCCCCCCUGGACGAAGACUGACGCUCAGGUGCGAAAGCGUGGGGCAGCAAACAGGAUUAGAUACCCUGG
This 445-nucleotide ribosomal RNA is filed under the name uncultured bacterium. Its description in RNAcentral is "partial 16S ribosomal RNA". It matches the Rfam family "Bacterial small subunit ribosomal RNA", at positions 355 to 790 of the family's 1533-position model. The record is from RNAcentral.